This 552-nucleotide ribosomal RNA is filed under the name uncultured bacterium. RNAcentral's name for it is "partial 16S ribosomal RNA". The record is from RNAcentral.
CCGUCAAUUCCUUUAAGUUUCAGCCUUGCGGCCGUACUUCCCAGGUGGCUCGCUUCACGGCUUCCCUACGGCACCGACAACGGUCGCACCGUGGCCGACACCUAGCGAGUAUCGUUUACGGCUAGGACUACCCGGGUAUCUAAUCCGGUUCGUGCCCCUAGCUUUCGUCCCUUGCCGUCAGGUCCGUUCUGGUGAGACGCCUUCGCCACUGGUGGUCCUUCAAGGAUUACAAGAUUUCACCCCUACCCCUGAAGUACCUCUCACCUCUCCCGGCCUCGAGCCGAACAGUAUCUCCUGAAAGCCCAACAGUUGAGCUGCUGGAUUUCUCAAGAGACUUAUCCGGCCGGCUACAGACCCUUUAGACCCAAUAAUAACGGUUACCACUCGAGCCGCCGGUGUUACCGCGGCGGCUGGCACCGGUCUUGCCCGGCCCUUGCUAUGCAAUGCUUUUUAGGCAUCACGACAGCCAGAUUUGUAACCUGGCACUCGAGGUCCCCUUAUCGCCGUUGCCGGCAUUGUAAAGUUUUCGCGCCUGCUGCCUCCCGUAGGAGU